Haemorhous mexicanus (house finch) is the source of this 5121-nucleotide long non-coding RNA. RefSeq lists it as uncharacterized. The transcript is spliced from 3 exons. Lineage: Eukaryota; Metazoa; Chordata; Aves; Passeriformes; Fringillidae. The record is from RefSeq and is a predicted model, not a curated record.
CCUUGGUCCUUUGUGUCCUUGGAAGUUUGGGAUGAAGGUUAGAGCAAAGCCUAGCUGAACGGGACUGACUUUUUUUCUGUGACAGCUUGCACUAGGCCCUAAAUCCCCCUCUAAGUGGAUUUGAGCCUGUCUUUCAGGUGGAAAAUAACCUGUCUUGUAUCCAGCAUGCAGACUACAAGCAGAACCCAGCUCAGGAGAUUCUGGGAGAAUAAGUUAGAAAAAUCAAAGGCAGAAGACUGAAGAGUUGCAAAUAAGUGCUAUCAUGACAAGGAUCCUGGACCUACAGCUCUGAAAAUGAAGACUUUCCAUUAUACAAUAAUUUCUUAGUUGGUGUGAACACCUGUAGCUGCGUGCAGAACAAACUUCCUUGUUGAUGUGACUGAACCCACAAAGAAAUCUUUCCUUUCCCAGUGAAGAUGAUAUUCCUUCUCUCCUUUAUUCUUGGUAUUGCACCCUUUGCCUCCAUCUGAAACUUGGGUUGACAGGGACUAAAGAUUCUCCACUGAUGGGAUGAAGAACUUGUCCCUCUUUCUGAGGAAAGUAGCUGUGCUCUAGACCCACUCUGUCACCACCAUCAAAUGAACAAACUCCAAGUGCUCUGCUGACAAGGCACAUGAAGAAUGUUAUUUCUAAAUCAAGAAGGAUGUUCCCCACUACAAUAAAUACUGCAGAAACUGCCAGAUAAGAAUGUUUUGUGUAGUAACCUGCAGGGCCUGCAUGACAACUUAAAUGACAGUCAUUAGCUUUUGAGGAGUUGUAAUGUAAAUGAAUGAUUUAAGGACAGUCUGGGAUAAAGUCCUUCCCAAGGCUGCAGUCUGUGAAGGCUCAGGCUGUUCAUGAGAUCACACAUGGAUUGCCUCUUCUGUUUCAGAGCCCUGUUUUGUGCACUGCAUUGUUCUGGCACAAUGGGCUGGAAUUGCAUCUUUUAGCCAUGAAUCCUGUAAAAGCCUGAGGAUUUAGAGAAAGAACUGCCCUUGCAUCUUCUCUCAGCUUAGUACAGGGUAAGACCAAUGCCAUCACAUUUGUUCUGGAAAAGCACAACUGGGUCAUAAAAAGAGUAGUUUCCUGUUGGGUCACAGUUUUAGUGCAACCAUGGCCUCAGCAUGUGGUACACUUCUGUGUGCACACUGUAUUGUUUCUGUGUCUGCACCAAAUUGUAAUAACUGUGAAGAAAAUAGAUUGCAAUAAAGCAACCAGGGAGACAGCAGAUGGAUGCAGACAGAUGGGAACAAGCCAGGAAGCUAGGAGCCAGGAUUGGUCACAAUGAGAAGCAAUAGUCACAGUACACUAUCAGCAUAAUGUCAGUGAUAGUUACUGGUGAGUUUUAAGGGUGUAUUGGAAGGCAAGAAAGAAAAUAAUGUUAUAGAUGCUCCUGACACUCCUUUGCAAGGGUAUGGGAAAAAACAGGACAAAGGUGUUUCUUUGAGAAGGUGACAGGCUGCACGUGGCAGCUGGCAUUCUGUCCACUGGUGCAGGUGAAGAGAAGUCUUACCUGUCUACCCAAAACCAGUAAUGUGAUGAAGAAUAUGAACAAGGAAAUUGAGCCCAUUGUCUUCAGGUCCUUCAGUAUUCCUGGCCUAUAAAAUAAAAACAUAAGUAAAGCAGGCUGCUCAAAAGUUAAACAAAUAUUACUUCAAGCACAAAAAUAAGACCACAAUUUAUAUGCACUACUUUUGGUACAUAAACUAAGAACAUUUAAAUAUGAUUCAAUGUCUUAUUUUAUAAAAUAGCAUUAUAUUAUGUAGAUUUAAUUACCUCUACAAUAUUCUCUGCAAAUGUGCCUACAUUUUGAAGUCCAAUAAUAAGAUGAGGAUUUAGGAAAAAUAAUGUCCUUUUUUACUUGCAAAUGGAGAGAAUUUGUGGCUUAUUCCAUACAAGUAGAAUAAAAACAGAUUUUUAAUACAAUAACACUAUUUCCAUUGUGGAGAGCAUAUCCAAUGAAUAUGCAGAAAAAGAAAGUAAAAGCACCUAUCUCCCAAAAUACCUUUUCUCCUGAGGAGGCACAAACUAGAUCUUGUAAAGAGUUUAUUAAAAACUCUGCUUUGGCAGAAGUCACUAAAGGCAAUGGAAAACAGUUCACACUAGAACCCUCCUACUGAUGCCUCUGAAACAAGAACCUUAGUAAGAGAUUUAGGAAGGAAAAUACCAAGAGACGCAGAGCUUGGCUGACAAAAUCAAAGCUGCCAGAAGCACAAGCUCAAUCUAUCCUGUCCCCUGGUUCUCCAUACCAUCACACACAUAUUCUUUCCAUUAAUAAAAUGGAAACAAAGACUUGGGUUUGUUCAUUCCAUCUUUAGAUCUAAGUGCAAAGAAAACAUACACUUUUUUUUCUCCCCAAAUUUUCAAAUGAAAUCCUUUUCCAUGAUUGUUACAGCACAGGAAAAAUGAUAUUGAAACUACAAUCUGAAUAUCCAGAUUUUCUGGAGUGGCAUAUGCCUUACCCUUGGCCUACACAGAAGAGAAUCACCUCUUUGUUUUAAAAAUGAGGUAGAAAUUACAGCUGUCCAAAAAUUAUUUUACACAGCAAUAACACAAACUGGAGUCAUAAUUUUGGUCUUACAUAUUAUCAGCUGUAACAAAGAUUUCAGCAGUCUCACUAAAAACUUUAGAUACAAAUGCACAGGCACAGCAAAAUAAAAAAAAUAUCAAUACUGUUGGUCUACUAAUUUGUUCAAUCACUAAGACUUUAUUUGUAAGCAUUUCAGACUAUAUACUAGUUUUGGGGAAGCUGAUUUUCUUCAGCUUGUAGCAAAUAUGCCCUAGAAGCCUUAAUGAUGUGCAGCCUGAGGCCUUAACAAACCUGGUGAUGAUUUCUUGUAGUGUCCUUUGUGACAAAAAUGCAAAUUAAACCAUACUCUGUUUCCUAUAGUGUGUGAUUUAAAUGCCUUGUCCAGACUUCUUUUAUUCUAAUGCUCUGAGGUGUGACAUUAAAUCAAAUAUUAGCUGCAGCAUGACAAUGAUUUUACAUUGUGACUCAGAUUACACAGCCAAACUCGUGUGUUCCAUGACAUAAGAGCUACCAAUGGUAGUAUUGAACUUCAGAAAGACUGGAGUUAGCCACCUACCUUCUAAGAGGUGCCAUUGCAUACAUAAAUUUGCUGUAGUCAUCCAGCAUGGGCCCAUGAGUGUGCAGAAGGAUAACAUUGUAGCCCACCAAUGCAAUCAACAUUAUUACCAUUUUCAACUCAUAAUUUAUCCUCAGGAAAACAGAACAGGAAAUGAGCCCUAAUAUGCAGCUGUAUAUAAAAUACUGGCAAAGAGAAAUCAAAUGGAAAAUAUUUAGAAUUUGGCUCUUGAGUAGGAAAUCAUGCAUAAUAAAAUGCUUGGGCUACUUUAAAAAACAAAUCAUUGAUUGACCACUGAAGUGUGCAAUAUAUCACAAUCUGGGACAUUGUGGUUUAUAGACAGCCAAUAAAAAUAAAUUUAUGCUCCUUAAUUUUCACCCUUUGACACUUCUGAUUUACUCAUCUACAUUUGUGGGAUACCACUACUGGUGUUGAAAUCUAAUGCAGGAGUCUGUUGCCAGCAGACUGACAUAAGAUUUACUCCUGUUCCACUGUAAAAUUUUCAUUCAUGCUUGAGUCCCAGGAUUACCCUGUAUGUCUUGCUAGCAUUUGGGUCAAGGUAAAAUGUCUAAAGGCCUGAAGCAACAAUUUCACUGCCUAUAUUUGCAGCUGGUAUAAACUGAUGCAGUACACAGUCAUGAAUCUCAGAGAUAUGCAAUUUUAUAAACAGCUAGGAUAGGAAAAAAACAAAGCUAUUAACAGGGCCUAUGCAUAAUAUAAAUAUUAAAGAUCCUUCUCUCAAAUCCUGUGGAAUAAUAACCGUAUAAGAACACAUUCAGUCGCUAAAAAAAAAAAAAAGCCUUUUGUUUCCUAUGUCAUACAUAUCAACAAAAAUAUGUAUAGUUGAAGUUAAAUUCCUGGAAAAACAUUUUCUUCUAAUACUUCCUGGAAACUGAUUACGGCAUCAAAAUUAAUGCUAAAACAGGAAUCAUCUCUAGAAUCAUUAUCUUAGUCUUUAAUAUGCAACCCCUUUGCCAGAAAUGCUUCCUGAAAAUUACAGUCCUGCACCUUGCAAGGAGGUUUCUUUUCUUAAACUACAAAGCAUUCUAUUUCUAGUCAUGCUAUUUUAAGACUACUGUUGACUUGUUGAUGGCAGCACUUUUGACAGACCCUGAAUCACUGUAUACUAAUUCUGGAGGAUCACUAAGAAGGAUAAUUUUCACAGCACCCAUCAGACAGAAUUUAUCUGCCAUCUCAAUCUUUGCUGCUACUGUAAUUUGCUCAAAGAUCUGGUUGAAAUAAGAAAUCGACAGAACUAUUGUUCAGAAUCACCAAAACAUAGAACUUCUCUGAUAGCUGCAUUUCAGAGGAGGUCACAGUCCAAAUUCAUGGUUACAUAAAAAUAGCAGCAUCCUUUUUUUUGAGUCAGUAAGGAGUGCUAGUGUUGAAAUCAGUUUUCCAAAAAGAAACAAGGAGAGGCAGUCUUGAACCCACAACUGAAUACUGUUUGACAAAGACCCAGAAAUUUUCAAGUGGAACAGUCUCUGACAGUGUUCCAUAUGAGUACAUAGAAUAGAUUGAAAAUUUCAGACAGGGGUGGAUGAAUUAGAGAAGAGUGGCACAGCCACACAUUUUAGAAUGCAGACCUUGCAUUGCAGUGCAGUGUUUCAGUAAGCAACAAGCAGAUCUGGAGAGUCUGGCAAUCCAUAAAGCAGUGAAGCUGAGCAGGUGCAGGCCCCUGGUCUGCUUAGGGCAUCCCCCAGCCCCAGGAUAACCUCAGCCAGCUCAGCCAACUCGCCACAACCCAGGAGCCUGCAGGCAGCUCCCACCUGGCACCAGCAUGAUGCCACCUCUGCAGCCUUGGCUUUCACCAACAGUGCAACAGCAAGUUCUCUUGGAGGCCCUUUUGUCUGACAGCUGAAGCAGUGAAUGUAAAUGUUCUCUUUUAAGAAAGUACUCCAACAGCUCAAAAGAGGAAAAUCCUGGGUAACCUCUCCACAGACAAAAUCUGCACCUCAUGCUGUAUGAAUCAGGAUUCUCAGCAUCUGAAGGGGCAUAAGUCCAUCUGUUCUCUUUUUCUUUCUUGUGCUAGCUAAUAAAGGUAUUUUAACCAACA